RNAcentral lists this ribosomal RNA (375 nucleotides) under uncultured eukaryote. Its description in RNAcentral is "partial 18S ribosomal RNA". It matches the Rfam family "Eukaryotic small subunit ribosomal RNA", at positions 592 to 976 of the family's 1831-position model. The record is from RNAcentral.
CAAUAGCGUAUAUUUAGGUUGUUGCAGUUAAAAAGCUCGUAGUUGGAUUUCGGUUAAGAGCGACCGGUCCGCCGUUUGGUGUGCACUGGUUGGUUUUAACUUCCUGUAGAGGACGUGCUCUGGGUUUAACGACCUGGACUCGGAGUCUACGUGGUUACUUUGAAAAAAUUAGAGUGUUCAAAGCGGGCUUACGCUUGAAUAUUUCAGCAUGGAAUAACACUAUAGGACUCCUGUCCUAUUUCGUUGGUCUCGGGACGGGAGUAAUGAUUAAGAGGAACAGUUGGGGGCAUUCGUAUUUCAUUGUCAGAGGUGAAAUUCUUGGAUUUAUGAAAGACGAACUUCUGCGAAAGCAUUUGCCAAGGAUGUUUNCAUUAA